GGAGAGGUGGCCGAGAGGCUGAAGGCGGCGGUUUGCUAAACCGUUAUACGGGUAAAACUGUAUCCAGGGUUCGAAUCCCUGCCUCUCCG
This 89-nucleotide transfer RNA is filed under the name bacterium. RNAcentral's name for it is "tRNA-Ser". It matches the Rfam family "tRNA". Rfam says of the family: Transfer RNA (tRNA) molecules are approximately 80 nucleotides in length. Their secondary structure includes four short double-helical elements and three loops (D, anti-codon, and T loops). The record is from RNAcentral.